Molecule: ribosomal RNA, 609 nt
Filed under: Triticum aestivum (bread wheat)
Lineage: Eukaryota; Viridiplantae; Streptophyta; Magnoliopsida; Poales; Poaceae
Description: partial small subunit ribosomal RNA
Source: RNAcentral
AUGGCCUGCAUGUUCUUCUCCUCCGGGGCCAGCACCACCCGCAGCUCGCCGCUGACCCGCUGCAGGUCGUGGUCGAAGCGGCCCCUCGGCUUGGCGGCGGCGAUGGCGACGUCCACGACGCUGGCCUCGACCAAGCCUUCGCCAGUUCCGCGCGGUGCUCUACUACCGCGACCGGCCGGUGCCGCGAUGUCAGAUGCGAAGGAGCGGCGAGGCGACCCGGCGAAGCAGCGGCGAGGCGACCCGUCGCAGCUGAGCCUGCGGCCAGCAUGGACGCGGCCGGGGGCGCAGCAGCGGCGGGGUGAUCCGACGGAACGGAGCCUGCGGCCAGCGUGGACGCGACACCUGGUCGAGCGACCGCGCGGAUUGCCCCGUGGCGGACGUCGCGUACCCGGCGUCCGAGCGGACGUGGUCGCGGCUGUCGCGCGCGCCAGCGCGGGCGGCAUGCGGGUCAAGGCCGUCAGCGGCUUCGCGCACACCAUCCCGAAGCUGGCCUGCCCCGGCGGCGGGAACGGCAGCGCGGCGUCUCUGCUCAUCUCGACCCUCAAUGGUUUUUCUUGCCUACAAAUGGAAGAUCGAACUGGUUGCAAGUGUAAAAAUGCCCUCGUGUAG